CCUACGGGAGGCAGCAGUGGGGAAUAUUGCACAAUGGGGGAAACCCUGAUGCAGCGACGCCGCGUGAGUGAAGAAGUAUUUCGGUACGUAAAGCUCUAUCAGCAGGGAAGAAAAUGACGGUACCUGACUAAGAAGCCCCGGCUAACUACGUGCCAGCAGCCGCGGUAAUACGUAGGGGGCAAGCGUUAUCCGGAUUUACUGGGUGUAAAGGGAGCGUAGACGGCAGCGCAAGUCUGGAGUGAAAUCCCAUGGCUUAACCAUGGAACUGCUUUGGAAACUGUGCAGCUAGAGUGCAGGAGAGGUAAACGGAAUUCCUAGUGUAGCGGUGAAAUGCGUAGAUAUUAGGAGGAACACCAGUGGCGAAGGCGGCUUACUGGACUGUAACUGACGUUGAGGCUCGAAAGCGUGGGGAGCAAACAGGAUUAGAUACCCCAGUAGUC
RNAcentral lists this ribosomal RNA (440 nucleotides) under uncultured bacterium. RNAcentral's name for it is "partial 16S ribosomal RNA". It matches the Rfam family "Bacterial small subunit ribosomal RNA", at positions 338 to 795 of the family's 1533-position model. The record is from RNAcentral.